Molecule: long non-coding RNA, 485 nt
Organism: Helianthus annuus (common sunflower)
Lineage: Eukaryota; Viridiplantae; Streptophyta; Magnoliopsida; Asterales; Asteraceae
Exons: 5
Source: RefSeq, a predicted model, not a curated record
UUUUCUUAAUCCGAUCUUAUAUAAACCAAAACAAAUUCAUUUCACCCCUCUUAAACCCUGAUUUCAAUUCAAAGUCGUUCUCUUCUCCAAAUUUGUCCCCAAUCGAUGCAUUUCAUAUCUGGAAUCAUCUUUGUCAAUCCGUUAAAGACAAGAGCAAGGCUACCUUUUUUUCCACCACACCAUCAAACAAUGUUGACUAUCUAGCACACUUACCAUUUCAGACUACUCUAGUGUGUAUUGAUGUAGAUGAUGGGAGGUCCAGCUAGGGGAGAAAUAGAUUGGUGUUCGGAUGCAAGGAUUUGAGAUAUCCUCAAGAAUGGUUAGGAUACGGUUGGAAGAAAAUGGAUGUCCAACCACAUAUUCUUGGUAUAAUCUUAUGUGCAAUUGAAACUAGCUCAUAAUCUACUCAAUCCAAUAAUAACGUGUUCUUUAUACAACUCGUGUAAUACAUGGUUUGAGAAUUGUUAUUGUAAUUUUUGUUUUUU